GCAGCAGCCACGGUAAUACAGAGGGUGCGAGCGUUAAUCGGAUUUACUGGGCGUAAAGCGUGCGUAGGCGGCUUCUUAAGUCGGAUGUGAAAUCCCUGAGCUUAACUUAGGAAUUGCAUUCGAUACUGGGAAGCUAGAGUAUAGGAGAGGAUGGUAGAAUUCCAGGUGUAGCGGUGAAAUGCGUAGAGAUCUGGAGGAAUACCGAUGGCGAAGGCAGCCAUCUGGCCUAAUACUGACGCUGAGGUACGAAAGCAUGGGGAGCAAACAGGAUUAGAUACCCGCGUAGUCCCUGUCUCUUAUAC
RNAcentral lists this ribosomal RNA (302 nucleotides) under uncultured bacterium. RNAcentral describes it as "partial 16S ribosomal RNA". It matches the Rfam family "Bacterial small subunit ribosomal RNA", at positions 508 to 807 of the family's 1533-position model. The record is from RNAcentral.